Bufo bufo (common toad) is the source of this 288-nucleotide long non-coding RNA. RefSeq lists it as uncharacterized. NCBI's taxonomy places the organism in Eukaryota, Metazoa, Chordata, Amphibia, Anura, Bufonidae. The transcript has 3 exons. The record is from RefSeq and is a predicted model, not a curated record.
CCUGGUUGGUAUUUGCGAAUUCUUCUGGUUUACACCACAGAAUAAAAGGUGUCUAGAAAAUUACUCUUGUGAGGAGUAGGGUAGAAGUUAUAUAUUGGUUUAAGACCUGAGGGGAUUGCUUCAGAAGGGUCAUUACUCAGUGAUGUGAUGUUUUGUUCAGGUUGUGACCCUCUAGAGGUAUUUUCUAAGAUUUGGAAAUGUAUUUUUACAAAAAGAUAGUCCUUUUAAUAGUAGUGAAAUUUCAGUUUUUGUUAAAUUAUAUCUAGAAAGAUUGAAAAUACCUGAAGG